CGGUGUGAAUUGCAGAAUCCCGUGAACCAUCGAGUCUUUGAACGCAAGUUGCGCCCGAAGCCACUAGGCUGAGGGCACGUCUGCCUGGGUGUCA
Molecule: ribosomal RNA, 94 nt
Rfam family: 5.8S ribosomal RNA
About the family: 5.8S ribosomal RNA (5.8S rRNA) is a component of the large subunit of the eukaryotic ribosome. It is transcribed by RNA polymerase I as part of the 45S precursor that also contains 18S and 28S rRNA.